This 1307-nucleotide long non-coding RNA is filed under the name Taeniopygia guttata (zebra finch). Its description in RNAcentral is "lncRNA (ENSTGUG00000018901.1)". The record is from RNAcentral. Lineage: Eukaryota; Metazoa; Chordata; Aves; Passeriformes; Estrildidae.
UAGCAAUUAUUUUCUCAUGCACAAGUACAGCAUAAGUUAAAUGAAGGUGCUUUCUGGAAAAAAUGUUGAGUACUGAAAUCCUGAACUGCUAGCAGAACAAGGAAGUGAUUGUUCUUUACUUCUUCAGUCAUCAGGCUUUUGCUGACAAUUAUUUUGGCAUGCAUAGCACAUACACACACAAUGACUGACUAUACAUUUGUGGAACCUUCUGAAAAAAUGAGGAUUAUCCUGUUGUGGGAUUCUGCAGCCCUGUCUGAUGCCUACUGUGACAGAAAAUAAGGUCUAAUAGAGUAAGUCUAGUUUUAGUUUUAUAGCACACUCCCAGAACAUUUACUGGCAGCAGAUACAGUGAUACCAUUUUAAAGUUUACUCCUUUGAUAUCUUCCAUCAGAUCUGAAAAAGGAGUCUGUUCCAAACAGAUAUUUGGGGCUUCUUGGCUGAAGCAUCUUCCCAAUCUUUUGACAAAUUCAAUGUCUCAACACUGAAUCUAACACCCACCACCCCUAAAAUACUGUCAAAGCAAGUGGCUUUCUUUAGAAAUGCCCUUUUUCCAAGCUUGGGAUGCUGCAAAUUCCUCUUCAGAUGCAUUAAGUCUAGCUUGUGGGAGGAUCUGAUGAUGUCCUCUCUUUUCAUCUUCAUCUGUAGCAUAUCACUUGUUCCUGCCCUGUAGCCUUGGUGGCUGAUCCCCUCUGCACACCCUCCUCUGGCUGCCUAUGGGUAUUAACGAGACUGCAGAGUGAGUUUUUGUGCUCCUGCUGGUCCUGGAAGCUGCCACAAGCAAAGGCUGGAAAGUCAAAUCAUGCCGCCGGAUCAUGUGGUGAUCAGACACCUGGAGAUAGCUUGACACUGGCAAGUUCUUGAACCUCUGAGAAGCAAUAGGAGAUGCAAUAUAGAACGUCUCAGACACAUCCAUGGUACAUACCACAUACCACGGAUUUGCUACAUACCCUUCAGCAGCUCGUACCACCUCUUUUAUUAUUCCUUCAUAUACCGUCACCAUUUAAAGUCACUCUACUGGGAAUGCAAACCGGAUCAAAGAGUUCCAGUAAAUGGUGAUGUCCAGCUUCCACUGGAAGAUUAUGAAGCACGAGCAGCCCCUAAGACUGUGUAAGUCAAAACCCAUGGUACUGUGAUGUGAUAUAGUGGCAGCUGUCAUUUGAACCUGCUUAUUGGCACUGUUAUUCCCUCAAGCAGGAUGCUGAAGCAGGUAUAAGACCAGUGCCUGUCAGAUGUCCCAACCAACUAUGAUUUGGUGUGGCUGAGUCAAGGUGAAAUUGAUUUAUAAAACUUUCUUUGCAAGGCGUAAC